RNAcentral lists this ribosomal RNA (449 nucleotides) under uncultured bacterium. Its description in RNAcentral is "partial 16S ribosomal RNA". It matches the Rfam family "Bacterial small subunit ribosomal RNA", at positions 29 to 523 of the family's 1533-position model. The record is from RNAcentral.
AACGAACGCUGGCGGCAUGCCUAACACAUGCAAGUCGAACGAAGGCUUCGGCCUUAGUGGCGCACGGGUGAGUAACGCGUGGGAAACUGCCUAUUGGUGGGGAAUAACGACGGGAAACUGUCGCUAAUACCGCAUAAGCCCUUCGGGGGAAAGAUUUAUCGCCGAUAGAUGUGCCCGCGUCCGAUUAGCUAGUUGGUGAGGUAAUGGCUCACCAAGGCGACGAUCGGUAGCUGGUCUGAGAGGAUGAUCAGCCACACUGGGACUGAGACACGGCCCAGACUCCUACGGGAGGCAGCAGUGGGGAAUAUUGGACAAUGGGCGAAGGCCUGAUCCAGCAAUGCCGCGUGAGUGAUGAAGGCCUUAGGGUUGUAAAGCUCUUUCGGGUGGGACGAUGAUGACGGUACCACCAGAAGAAGCCCCGGCUAACUUCGUGCCAGCCGCCGCAGUAA